RNAcentral lists this ribosomal RNA (492 nucleotides) under uncultured bacterium. RNAcentral describes it as "partial 16S ribosomal RNA". It matches the Rfam family "Bacterial small subunit ribosomal RNA", at positions 29 to 507 of the family's 1533-position model. The record is from RNAcentral.
AGUGAACGCUGGCGGUAGGCCUAACACAUGCAAGUCGAACGGCAGCACAGUAAGAGCUUGCUCUUACGGGUGGCGAGUGGCGGACGGGUGAGGAAUACAGCGGAAUCUACUUUUUCGUGGGGGAUAACGUAGGGAAACUUACGCUAAUACCGCAUACGACCUACGGGUGAAAGCAGGGGAUCUUCGGACCUUGCGCGAUUGAAUGAGCCGAUGUCGGAUUAGCUAGUUGGCGGGGUAAAGGCCCACCAAGCCGACGAUCCGUAGCUGGUCUGAGAGGAUGAUCAGCCACACUGGAACUGAGACACGGGCCAGACUCCUACGGGAGGCAGCAGUGGGGAAUAUUGGACAAUGGGCGCAAGCCUGAUCCAGCCAUACCGCGUGGGUGAAGAAGGCCUUCGGGUUGUAAAGCCCUUUUGUUGGGAAAGAAAAGCAGCAGGUUAAUACCCCGCUGUUCUGACGGUACCCAAAGAAUAAGCACCGGCUAACUUCGUG